ACGGAAGUGUGGAGUAGGGGGUUUAUGAGUGGACCGACAGUAUCUUUCAGAUACACAAGCGUGUCCGUUGUUAACUAACCCAAACUAUUAUAACAAAAGUCUAUCUAUCUAGAUAGACCAAGCUCCGUUCAUCGUAGAGCACAUUGGUUUGUUCGCUCUGCUUCCAAUCAAAAACUGCAAGGGUAUUCUCAUAAACCCCUUAUUUUGGAAGUCUGAAGAACCAUAGAGCUCUUAUCGUUAGAUUUUCCCUGGCGUUUUCCAUUUU
RNAcentral lists this non-coding RNA (265 nucleotides) under Andrena dorsata. The record is from RNAcentral. Lineage: Eukaryota; Metazoa; Arthropoda; Insecta; Hymenoptera; Andrenidae.